Molecule: ribosomal RNA, 481 nt
Filed under: uncultured bacterium
Lineage: Bacteria
Description: partial 16S ribosomal RNA
Rfam family: Bacterial small subunit ribosomal RNA
Source: RNAcentral
GAUGAACGCUGGCGGCGUGCUUAACACAUGCAAGUCGAACGAAGCAUUUGCGACAGAUUUUUUCGGAAUGAAGUUGCUUAUGACUGAGUGGCGGACGGGUGAGUAACGCGUGGGUAACCUGCCUUGUACUGGGGGAUAGCAGCUGGAAACGGCUGGUAAUACCGCAUAAGCGCACAAUGUUGCAUGACAUGGUGUGAAAAACUCCGGUGGUAUAAGAUGGACCCGCGUCUGAUUAGCUAGUUGGUGAGAUAACAGCCCACCAAGGCGACGAUCAGUAGCCGACCUGAGAGGGUGACCGGCCACAUUGGGACUGAGACACGGCCCAGACUCCUACGGGAGGCAGCAGUGGGGAAUAUUGCACAAUGGAGGAAACUCUGAUGCAGCGACGCCGCGUGAGUGAAGAAGUAAUUCGUGAUGUAAAGCUCUAUCAGCAGGGAAGAUAGUGACGGUACCUGACUAAGAAGCUCCGGCUAAAUACGUG